This 240-nucleotide unclassified non-coding RNA is filed under the name soil metagenome. RNAcentral's name for it is "partial contains 5.8S ribosomal RNA, internal transcribed spacer 2, and large subunit ribosomal RNA". The record is from RNAcentral.
AAGACUAUAGACCUGCGGAGUACCUGCGGAGGGAUCAUUAAUGGAUAAAUUAAAAGUGCACCGUGAAGGAGAUAAAAUUCUUUUUCAUGGUGUUCUUUUAUCAACCCCUUGUGUGAAACUGAUGUCAAUGUGAAGAGAGUAAAGAGUGCAUCUUUGUUCUCUCACAUGAUUCACAACCAUUCAAUCAUCUUGACUGAAUAUGACCAUAAAAAAGAAAACAACUUUCAACAAUGGAUCUCU